CCAUGGUACUACAAAAGGCCUGCCCACCACUGCCAUCUUUGCUGUUUUCAUACAAAAAUCAUCAAGCACUUCCCUGGGCAAGGAGAAGCAAGAAAACAAAAAAAUAUAAAUGUCAAGCAAGGAGAAAACGAAAAGACACCACCACUGCUGCUGCUCCAGCUGCCGCCCCUUCCCCUCAAGGUUUGUGCUUCUCAAUGUGCUCUGUUCCUCCACCUGAGCAUACCCCUCUUUUGCUUUAGCUCCUCCCCUCCCUGCUGCACCACCAAGCCUGGAUCCCAUCUUCCAUAUCAAGUGUGUGCUGGAAAGGGAGGAGAGAAGAGGGGGGAGCUUGUUCUCACACAACUGGCUAGCACUCUUCCUGGAAGAUUGGAUUGGGAAUGAUCAUGAAUUGAGGAUUUUCAAAUGCAGCUUCUGAUUGAUCAAGAGAAGGGAUAGAUAGGCCCAGGCUGUGAGAAAUCCCUCCACCCCAUUUUAC
This 475-nucleotide long non-coding RNA is filed under the name Selaginella moellendorffii. Its description in RNAcentral is "long non-coding RNA (SMOE_LNC000484)". Lineage: Eukaryota; Viridiplantae; Streptophyta; Lycopodiopsida; Selaginellales; Selaginellaceae. The record is from RNAcentral.